RNAcentral lists this ribosomal RNA (473 nucleotides) under uncultured Acidovorax sp. RNAcentral describes it as "bacterial SSU rRNA". It matches the Rfam family "Bacterial small subunit ribosomal RNA", at positions 907 to 1382 of the family's 1533-position model. Lineage: Bacteria; Pseudomonadati; Pseudomonadota; Betaproteobacteria; Burkholderiales; Comamonadaceae. The record is from RNAcentral.
GAAUUGACGGGACCCGCACAAGCGGUGGAUGAUGUGGUUUAAUUCGAUGCAACGCGAAAACCUUACCCACCUUUGACAUGUACGGAACCCUCCAGAGAUGGAGGGGUGCUCGAAAGAGAGCCGUAACACAGGUGCUGCAUGGCUGUCGUCAGCUCGUGUCGUGAGAUGUUGGGUUAAGUCCCGCAACGAGCGCAACCCUUGUCAUUAGUUGCUACAUUUAGUUGGGCACUCUAAUGAGACUGCCGGUGACAAACCGGAGGAAGGUGGGGAUGACGUCAAGUCCUCAUGGCCCUUAUAGGUAGGGCUACACACGUCAUACAAUGGAUGGUACAAAGGGUCGCCAACCCGCGAGGGGGAGCCAAUCCCAUAAAACCAUUCGUAGUCCGGAUCGCAGUCUGCAACUCGACUGCGUGAAGUCGGAAUCGCUAGUAAUCGUGGAUCAGAAUGUCACGGUGGAUACGUUCCCGGGUCUU